GCCUUUGUAGUGCAACUGUAGCACACGCGAUGCGAAUUCGAAUUGCCCAGGUUCGAGUCCCGGCGAGGGCA
Molecule: transfer RNA, 71 nt
Filed under: Stegodyphus mimosarum
Lineage: Eukaryota; Metazoa; Arthropoda; Arachnida; Araneae; Eresidae
Rfam family: tRNA
About the family: Transfer RNA (tRNA) molecules are approximately 80 nucleotides in length. Their secondary structure includes four short double-helical elements and three loops (D, anti-codon, and T loops).
Source: Rfam by way of RNAcentral